CAGUCGCCGCGGGAAUACGUAGGUGGCAAGCGUUGUCCGGAAUUAUUGGGCGUAAAGGGCUCGCAGGCGGUUUCUUAAGUCUGAUGUGAAAGCCCCCGGCUCAACCGGGGAGGGUCAUUGGAAACUGGGAAACUUGAGUGCAGAAGAGGAGAGUGGAAUUCCACGUGUAGCGGUGAAAUGCGUAGAGAUGUGGAGGAACACCAGUGGCGAAGGCGACUCUCUGGUCUGUAACUGACGCUGAGGAGCGAAAGCGUGGGGAGCGAACAGGAUUAGAUACCCCAGUAGUCCAUGUCUCUUAUAC
This 301-nucleotide ribosomal RNA is filed under the name uncultured bacterium. Its description in RNAcentral is "partial 16S ribosomal RNA". It matches the Rfam family "Bacterial small subunit ribosomal RNA", at positions 509 to 807 of the family's 1533-position model. The record is from RNAcentral.